Molecule: transfer-messenger RNA, 136 nt
Filed under: Nitrospirota bacterium
Lineage: Bacteria; Pseudomonadati; Nitrospirota
Description: Nitrospirae bacterium (groundwater metagenome) partial transfer-messenger RNA
Rfam family: transfer-messenger RNA
About the family: Bacterial tmRNA, also known as 10Sa RNA or SsrA, is named for its dual tRNA and mRNA-like properties. Its role is to liberate the mRNA from a stalled ribosome. To accomplish this part of the tmRNA is used as a reading frame that ends in a translation stop signal.
Source: RNAcentral
GGGGGCGAACGGCUUCGACGGGGAUAAUGAAGCUGUAGGCUGCAUACCGAGGAUUCUCAGAAGACUCGUAAAAAAAACUGAGAAAACUAUAAUUGCCAACGAAGAAUUGGCACUCGCUGCUUAAUUAAAGCAGUGC